Molecule: ribosomal RNA, 589 nt
Filed under: Tomoplagia sp. VNS-3
Lineage: Eukaryota; Metazoa; Arthropoda; Insecta; Diptera; Tephritidae
Description: partial 16S ribosomal RNA
Rfam family: Bacterial large subunit ribosomal RNA (bases 340-499)
Source: RNAcentral
UGGCCGCAGUAUUUUGACUGUGCAAAGGUAGCAUAAUCAUUAGUCUUUUAGUUGAAGGCUUGUAUGAAUGGGUGGACGAGGUAUUAACUGUUUCAUAUAAAUUUAUAAUAAAAUUUUAUAUUUUAGUAAAAAAGCUAAAAUUUAAUUAAAAGACGAGAAGACCCUAUAAAUCUUUAUAUUUAAGUUUUAAUUUAAUUUUUUAAAUUAAUUUAAUAUAAAUUUAAUUUAAUUAUUUUAUUGGGGUGAUAUUAAAAUUUAUAAAACUUUUAAUUUUAGAUAAACAUUAAUUUAUGUUUUAUUGAUCCAUUAAUAAUGAUUAAAAGAAUAAGUUACUUUAGGGAUAACAGCGUAAUUUUUUUGGAGAGUUCUUAUUAAUAAAAAAGUUUGCGACCUCGAUGUUGGAUUAAGAAAUAAAUUUAGGUGUAGAAGCUUAAAAAUUAAGUCUGUUCGACUUUUAAAUUCUUACAUGAUCUGAGUUCAGACCGGCGUAAGCCAGGUUGGUUUCUAUCUUUAAUUUUUUAUAAUAUUUAGUACGAAAGGACCAAAUAUUAAAUUUAUAAAAAUUUAAUUUUUUGAAAAUAAUUAAAUU